Long non-coding RNA from Anthonomus grandis grandis, 392 nucleotides. RefSeq lists it as uncharacterized. The record is from RefSeq and is a predicted model, not a curated record. The transcript has 2 exons. Lineage: Eukaryota; Metazoa; Arthropoda; Insecta; Coleoptera; Curculionidae.
UAUUUUUCAAGAAAGAACCAAGUUUUGCUUAAUGGAGUACCGAUAAGUGGUUUUUUUCAUCGAAUUUUUUAAAGCAAAAUAGAAAAAUUAGUUAUGACCAAAGGUAAAAAUAUGUUACAAAUACUGCAGAUGCUGGAGGUUCAAAAAAAUUUGUAGGGUUUAGGUCUGGCGAUUGAGAUGGCCACACCAUUACAUUUAUUUUUUCAUCGGAUAGCCACCUCUUAACAAAUUGAGAAGCAUGUUUUGGAUCGUUGUUAUGCUGAAAUAUGGCUGUUACUGGAAUGACUUCAUCCAUAUAUCCUCCUGGGACCCGGACAUGUUUUUGUUAAGUUAGGGUUGUAAGGCUUUUAAAUAUAAUAAAAAAUACAUAAAUAAACAUUGUUUACUAAUAA